AGAGGUUUUGACAGCGUGAACAAAGUGCUCCCUUUGAGCGCUGUCACCUAGGGAUGGAUGUGUUUGUGGCAUUCACGGGGCAGAAGUGAGACCGUGUGUGUGCCUGGUGCAGUUCGUUGGCCGUGGCCAGACACGAGAAUCCCACGGACGUGGAAAUCUCAUGAAAGCAAGAGGAACUCGGGCCCCAACAGAGAGAUGGCCCAGUGGGAGCCAUGUGGCCAAGAGAUGGAGCAAGUGAGAUCAACUGGCACAGGGGGUAGCUCCAGUGAGUUGUUGGUGGCGACGGGAGCUCGGGAGCAUGACCUGGCCCUGCUGAAAGAUGGUCAGUGUCAUCGUGGCGCGAAUCCAACAGCUGCUUCCUCUUUAAUGGGCAGUGAUGGAGAACUUCUCCUGAGUUCAAACAUGACGAAGAUCUUCCCUUCUCACCUCUUCUAGUCAACACACCCGGGAGUUUCCAACCAGCAAAACCAGACGAGAAAAAUAAGUUUAAGGCAUGUGCACAGGAAGGAAAAGGUAAGACAAUGUCUACCAACCACCCAAUGGCUGUAUUUUCGCCUGUCUUCCAACUCUCCUUUCUUUUUGGAGCUCGAGUCAGGAAGGAUGUUGUCCGGGGAAUGCCUGCCUUAUCCAACAGUUCAUUCCAGUGGCAGCCUUGCUCCACGACUUAGGUCAGUCAUGCAGGGGAGCUCUGCAGCACUUUCUCCCCUGCCAACUCACUGGAGUUUAAAAAAAAUCCCAAAUUACCUUUUAGGCAUGUGAAAAUAGACAGCACAGCGGAGGUUCGCUGUGCUAAUCUUUGGGGAGUUAAAAACCAAGGCUUCCAUACGUACCUUUGAUGAUUCUGCAAGGUAAAGGUUGAGAGUAAACAGAGGAUGAGGCAUCAACAUGAACACACAAAUCAGUGACUUAUUCUGUGUAGUAUAGUAGUUUAAUGUGACAAGACUGGAUGAAUAAAAGCUUACUA
Molecule: long non-coding RNA, 964 nt
Filed under: Mus musculus (house mouse)
Lineage: Eukaryota; Metazoa; Chordata; Mammalia; Rodentia; Muridae
Description: predicted gene, 52988
Source: RNAcentral